GGGGACCAACAGUUGGACACGACUGACUAAUGCCGCAUUAUAGCUUGAGGGUGAAAGCAACAAUGCGCUAUCAGAUGCGCCCAAACGGGAUUAGCUAGUAGGUGAGGUAAAGGCUCACUUAGGGGCCGAAUCUCUAGCUGGUCUGAGAGGAUGAUCAACCACACUCGGAGUGUGACACGGCCCAGACUCCUACGGGAGGCAGCACUAGGGAAUGAUGCACAACGGGGGAAACCCUGAUGCAGCCACGCCCCGUGUGUGAAGAAGGCCUUCGGGUUGUAAAGCACUUUCGGAGGGGAGGAACAAAUGACGUUACCCUCAGAAGAAGCACCGGCUAACUCCGUGCCAGCAGCCGCGGUAAUACGGAGGGUGCAAGCGUUAAUCGGAAUAACUGGGCGUAAAGGGCAUGCAGGCGGUGAAACAAGUAUUAUGUGAAAUCCCCGGGCUCAACCUGGGAACUGCAUUCUAAACUGUAUAACUAGAGUAGUGCAGGGGGAGACGGAAUUCCAGGUGUAGCGGUGGAAUGCGUAGAUAUCUGGAAGAACACCAAGGGCGAAGGCAGUCUCCUGGGCAAAUACUGACGCUCAGACGCGAAAGCGUGGGUAUCAAACAGGAUUAGAUACCCUGGUAGUCCACGCCGUAAACGAUGUCAAAUAGGAGUCUGGUGAUCAACUAUCGGUCCGCAGCUAACG
This 689-nucleotide ribosomal RNA is filed under the name uncultured bacterium. Its description in RNAcentral is "bacterial SSU rRNA". It matches the Rfam family "Bacterial small subunit ribosomal RNA", at positions 138 to 857 of the family's 1533-position model. The record is from RNAcentral.